Molecule: ribosomal RNA, 838 nt
Filed under: uncultured fungus
Lineage: Eukaryota; Fungi
Description: SSU rRNA
Rfam family: Eukaryotic small subunit ribosomal RNA
Source: RNAcentral
GUGCCAGCAGCCGCGGUAAUUCCAUGCUCCAAUAGCGUAUAUUAAAGUUGUUGUGGUUAAAAAGCUCGUAGUUGAACCUUGGGCCUGGCUGGCCGGUCCGCCUCACCGCGUGCACUGGUCCGGCCGGGCCUUUCCCUCUGUGGAACCCCAUACCCUUCACUGGGCGUGGCGGGGAAACAGGACAUUUACUUUGAAAAAAUUAGAGUGCUCCAGGCAGGCCUAUGCUCGAAUACAUUAGCAUGGAAUAAUAAAAUAGGACGCGCGGUUCUAUUUUGUUGGUUUAUAGGACCGCCGUAAUGAUUAAUAGGGACAGUCGGGGGCAUCAGUAUUCAACUGUCAGAGGUGAAAUUCUUGGAUCAGUUGAAGACUAACUACUGCGAAAGCAUUUGCCAAGGAUGUUUUCAUUAAUCAGGAACGAAAGUUAGGGGAUCGAAGACGAUCAGAUACCGUCGUAGUCUUAACCAUAAACUAUGCCGACUAGGGAUCGGACGGUGUUAUUCAUGACCCGUUCGGCACCUUACGAGAAAUCAAAGUGCUUGGGCUCCAGGGGGAGUAUGGUCGCAAGGCUGAAACUUAAAGAAAUUGACGGAAGGGCACCACCAGGGGUGCAGCCUGCGGCUUAAUUUGACUCAACACGGGGAAACUCACCAGGUCCAGACACAAUAAGGAUUGACAGAUUGAGAGCUCUUUCUUGAUUUUGUGGGUGGUGCUGCAUGGCCGUUCUUAGUGGUGGGGUGACUUGUCUGCUUAAUUGCGAUAACGAACGAGACCUUAACCUGCUAAAUAGCCCGCAUUGCUCCGGCAGUGCGCUGGCUUCUUAGGAGGGGACUUUCGGCUC